CGAUCUGGCUCAGGAUGAACGCUAGCGACAGGCUUAACACAUGCAAGUCGAGGGGCAGCAUAGAAGUGGCAAUACUUGGUGGCGACCGGCGCACGGGUGAGUAACGCGUAUGCAACCUACCUAUCGAGAGGGGGAUAACCCGGCGAAAGUCGGACUAAUACCGCAGUAAAACAGGGGCACCGCAUGGUGAUAUUUGUUAAAGAAAUUCGCUGAUAGAUGGGCAUGCGUUCCAUUAGGUAGUUGGUGAGGUAACGGCUCACCAAGCCGACGAUGGAUAGGGGAACUGAGAGGUUGGUCCCCCACACUGGUACUGAGACACGGACCAGACUCCUACGGGAGGCAGCAGUGAGGAAUAUUGGUCAAUGGGCGGGAGCCUGAACCAGCCAAGUCGCGUGAAGGGAAAAGAAGGAUCUAUGGUUCGUAAACUUCUUUUGCAGGGGAAUAAAGUGCAGGACGUGUCCUGUUUUGUAUGUACCCUGAGAAUAAGGAUCGGCUAACUCCGUGCCAGCAGCAGC
Molecule: ribosomal RNA, 515 nt
Filed under: uncultured bacterium
Lineage: Bacteria
Description: bacterial SSU rRNA
Rfam family: Bacterial small subunit ribosomal RNA
Source: RNAcentral